RNAcentral lists this ribosomal RNA (777 nucleotides) under uncultured Neocallimastigales. Its description in RNAcentral is "partial large subunit ribosomal RNA". It matches the Rfam family "Eukaryotic large subunit ribosomal RNA", at positions 22 to 644 of the family's 3401-position model. The record is from RNAcentral. Lineage: Eukaryota; Fungi; Neocallimastigomycota; Neocallimastigomycetes; Neocallimastigales.
CAUAGCGACUAUCGUGGCAUAUCAAUAAGCGGAGGAAAAGAAACUAACAAGGAUUCCCUUAGUAACGGCGAGUGAAGCGGGAAGAGCUCAAAUUUGAAAUCUUCAAGGUUUUACCUUGACGAAUUGUAGUUUAAAGAAGUGUUUUCUGUUGGAGUUUUGGUAAAAGUUCUUUGGAAUAGGACAUCAUAGAGGGUGAGAAUCCCGUAUUUGACCAUUAUUUCCAGCUUUGUGAUACACUUUCAAAGAGUCGGAUUGUUUGGGAAUGCAGUCCAAAAUGGGUGGUAAAUUUCAUCUAAAGCUAAAUAUUGGCGAGAGACCGAUAGCGAACAAGUACCGUGAGGGAAAGAUGAAAAGAACUUUGAAAAGAGAGUUAAACAGUACGUGAAAUUGUCAAAAGGGAAGCGUUUGACACCAGUGUUGUUUUUUCCGAAAAUCAAUUACGAAUGUUUUAUUUUUGAGAAGUUAUGACUUCAUCGGCUUGCUUCUCUCUUUAUGAAACUUUCUUAAUGCACUUUUCGGUUAACAAGUCAACAUCAAUUUCUUUUGUUGUAAAAGGGUAUGAGGAAGGUGGCUUUCUUUUCGGAGAAAGUGUUUAUAGCCUUGUGCCUCUGCAAUCGGAGAGAUUGAGGUCUGCAGCGUAGAUCCUUCGGGGUUAGAUACGUUUGUGCUAAGUUAUAGCUUUUCAUAGACAACUUGUUGACUAUGAUUAAGUCAUUGUAGCUUACUCGCUUAUGCUAUUUUACCUACGCUUAGGAUGUUGAUAGUCACAGCGUGUAC